This 253-nucleotide ribosomal RNA is filed under the name uncultured bacterium. RNAcentral's name for it is "partial 16S ribosomal RNA". It matches the Rfam family "Bacterial small subunit ribosomal RNA", at positions 524 to 776 of the family's 1533-position model. The record is from RNAcentral.
UACAGAGGGUGCGAGCGUUAGGCGGAAUCACUGGGCUUAAAGCGUGUGUAGGUGGAUCGUUAAGUACCUUGUGAAAUCCCACGGCUUAACCGUGGAACUGCUUGGUAUACUGGCGGUCUUGAGCCAGCUAGGGGCUACCGGAACAAAUGGUGGAGCGGUGAAAUGCGUAGAUAUCAUUUGGAACGCCAAUGGUGAAAACAGGUGGCUGGGGCUGUACUGACACUGAGACACGAAAGCCAGGGGAGCAAACGGG